RNAcentral lists this ribosomal RNA (374 nucleotides) under uncultured organism. Its description in RNAcentral is "partial 16S ribosomal RNA". It matches the Rfam family "Bacterial small subunit ribosomal RNA", at positions 527 to 896 of the family's 1533-position model. The record is from RNAcentral.
GUAGGUGGCAAGCGUUGUCCGGAAUUAUUGGGGCGUAAAGCGCGCGCAGGCGGUUCUUUAAGCCUGAUGUGAAAGCCCACGGGCUCAACCGUGGAGGGUCAUUGGAAACUGGAGAACUUGAGUACAGAAGAGGAAAGCGGAAUUCCACGUGUAGCGGUGAAAUGCGUAGAGAUGUGGAGGAACACCAGUGGCGAAGGCGGCUUUCUGGUCUGUAACUGACGCUGAGGCGCGAAAGCGUGGGGAGCAAACAGGAUUAGAUACCCUGGUAGUCCACGCCGUAAACGAUGAGUGCUAAGUGUUAGGGGGUUUCCGCCCCUUAGUGCUGCAGCUAACGCAUUAAGCACUCCGCCUGGGGAGUACGGCCGCAAAGGCUG